RNAcentral lists this ribosomal RNA (309 nucleotides) under uncultured bacterium. RNAcentral describes it as "bacterial SSU rRNA". It matches the Rfam family "Bacterial small subunit ribosomal RNA", at positions 28 to 339 of the family's 1533-position model. The record is from RNAcentral.
GACAAACGCUGGCGGGGUGCGUGAGACAUGCAAGUCGAACGGGGUUCAUCGGGCUUGCUCGGUGAACCUAGUGGCGGACGGCUGAGUAACGCGUAGGUGACCUGCCCGGAAGUGGGGAUAACUGCCCGAAAGGGUGGCUAAUACCGCAUGUGGUCGGCGAAUCAGUUCGUCGUCCAAAGCCGCAAGGCGCUUCCGGAGGGGCCUGCGUCCGAUUAGCUAGUUGGUGGGGUAAUGGCUCACCAAGGCGACGAUCGGUAGCUGGUCUGAGAGGAUGAUCAGCCAGACUGGACUGAGAACGGCCCAGACUCC